UAAUACAGAGGUCCCAAGCGUUGUUCGGAUUCACUGGGCGUAAAGGGUGCGUAGGUGGUGAGGUAAGUCGGAUGUGAAAUCUCCAGGCUCAACCUGGAAAUGGCAUUGGAAACUACCUUGCUAGAGGGUUUGAGGGGGGACUGGAAUACUUGGUGUAGCAGUGAAAUGCGUAGAUAUCAAGUGGAACACCAGUGGCGAAGGCGAGUCCCUGGAAAAUACCUGACACUGAGGCACGAAAGCUAGGGGAGCAAACAGGAUUAGAUACCCUGGUAGUCCUAGCUGUAAACGGUGCUUGCUUGCUGUAAAAGGAAUCGACCCCUUUUGUGGCGGAGUUAACACGUUAAGCAAGCCGCCUGGGAAGUACGGUCGCAAGAUUA
RNAcentral lists this ribosomal RNA (377 nucleotides) under uncultured bacterium. RNAcentral's name for it is "bacterial SSU rRNA". It matches the Rfam family "Bacterial small subunit ribosomal RNA", at positions 521 to 896 of the family's 1533-position model. The record is from RNAcentral.